AUGCAGUGCAGAGGAGUCAAUCUACUCUUCCUCCCACCGCCGCCGCCGCCGCUCGUCGUUUCAAGAGGCCGCCUCCAACCGCAGCGCAGCAGGAUGAGUGAAGAGGACUCGACGAGCCGGCCAGCUCCGAAGCUCAACGAGAGGAUCCUUUCGUCGCUGUCGAGGAGGGCAGUGGCCGCGCAUCCGUGGCAUGAUCUCGAGAUCGGCCCUGGGGCUCCAGCGGUGUUCAAUGUUGUUGUUGAGAUCACAAAGGGAAGCAAAGUGAAAUAUGAGCUUGACAAGAAAACUGGACUGAUUAAGGUUGAUAGAGUUCUGUACUCAUCAGUUGUAUAUCCUCACAACUAUGGUUUCAUUCCGAGAACACUUUGUGAAGACAACGAUCCAAUGGAUGUGUUGGUCCUGAUGCAGGAGCCUGUUAUUCCUGGUUCUUUCCUCCGAGCUAGAGCAAUUGGCCUUAUGCCCAUGAUUGAUCAGGGCGAAAAGGAUGACAAGAUCAUAGCAGUCUGCGCCGAUGAUCCUGAAUACCGUCACUACAAUGACAUCAGUGAGCUGUCUCCUCACCGCCUCCAAGAGAUCAAGCGCUUCUUUGAAGACUACAAGAAGAAUGAGAACAAGGAGGUGGCUGUCGAUGCGUUCUUACCUGCGACCACUGCCCGCGAGGCCAUUCAGUAUUCGAUGGACCUGUAUGCGCAGUAUAUUCUGCAGAGCUUAAGGCAGUAG
Molecule: ribosomal RNA, 720 nt
Filed under: Triticum aestivum (bread wheat)
Lineage: Eukaryota; Viridiplantae; Streptophyta; Magnoliopsida; Poales; Poaceae
Description: partial small subunit ribosomal RNA
Source: RNAcentral